RNAcentral lists this ribosomal RNA (134 nucleotides) under uncultured Candidatus Saccharibacteria bacterium. Its description in RNAcentral is "partial 16S ribosomal RNA". It matches the Rfam family "Bacterial small subunit ribosomal RNA", at positions 369 to 520 of the family's 1533-position model. The record is from RNAcentral. Lineage: Bacteria; Candidatus Saccharimonadota.
CAAUGGGCGAAAGCCUGAUGGAGCAACGCCGCGUGAAGGAUGAAGGCCCUCGGGUUGUAAACUUCUUUUAUGAGUGAAGAAUAUGACGGUAACUUAUGAAUAAUCACCGGCUAACUACAUGCCAGCACCCGCGG